RNAcentral lists this ribosomal RNA (754 nucleotides) under uncultured eukaryote. RNAcentral describes it as "bacterial SSU rRNA". It matches the Rfam family "Eukaryotic small subunit ribosomal RNA", at positions 68 to 792 of the family's 1831-position model. The record is from RNAcentral.
AGCGUUCUUGUACCGUGAAACUGCGAAUGGCUCAUUACAACAGUUAUAGUUUAUUUGAUCGUGCGGAGCUACGUGGAUAACCGUAGGAAUUCUAGAGCUAAUACAUGCACCGUCGCUGAGGUUCUUUGAGUAGACUUUGGCGGGAUUUAUUAGAUCAAAAACCAAUCGCAUAUCGUGUAUACGGUAAGCGUGGCGGGAUGAAUCAUAAUAACUAAACCGAAUCGUAUGGCCGUGAUUUGGCCGGCGAUAAAUCAUUCAAAUUUCUGCCCUAUCAACUUUCGAUGGUAGGGUAGUGGCCUACCAUGGUGUUGACGGGUGACGGAGAAUUAGGGUUCGAUUCCGGAGAGGGAGCCUGAGAAACGGCUACCACAUCCAAGGAAGGCAGCAGGCGCGUAAAUUACCCAAUCCUGAUUCAGGGAGGUAGCGACAAGAAAUAACGAUAGCGGGCUCGUUCGAGUCCGUGCAUCGGAAUGAGGAUAAUUUACACCCCUUCUCGAGGAUCCAUUGGAGGGCAAGUCUGGUGCCAGCAGCCGCGGUAAUUCCAGCUCCAAUAGCGUAUACUAAAGUUGUUGCAGUUAAAAAGCUCGUAGUCGAAUGUAGGUUUUGUUACUACGCGAUCUCUUGGGUGUAACUUGAGUGGACUGCGUGUAACAACCUUCCCGGAUAUAACAGAGGUAGUCUGGGUAAUCUCAGGUUAUGUCUUGUUAUAUGCAUUACUGUGAACAAAAUAGAGUGUUCAUGGCAGGCCAAUUUA